This is a long non-coding RNA of Dreissena polymorpha, 467 nucleotides long. RefSeq lists it as uncharacterized. The transcript is spliced from 3 exons. The record is from RefSeq and is a predicted model, not a curated record. Lineage: Eukaryota; Metazoa; Mollusca; Bivalvia; Myida; Dreissenidae.
AGAUUGUGUACUGUGUUUUACGCUUUCAGAGAUCAAUUCAUCAAGUAUUUUUGUAAAAAGUAUAUUUUUCUUCGAGUGAAUAUACAUAACACAUUUGAUCAUGUAGAUUAGUAGCAUUUUUCGUCCCAGGUUAGUAUUAUCAAGAAUAUUUUUAUUGAAAUGAUAAUGUUGCAUUGGUCUCUUUUCAGUACUCGUUUUACAUGAGCCGGAUAGAGGACAGACUGUACAUAUAACCUCGAAGCGGGCAUAAAACCAUAUAGCUACAGACACCAACUCAGACACAUUUCAAUUCACAAGAGAUGCAGACAAGAUGUGCAUCAGCAGAUACAGAUGAACACCCAAGUUGCAACAGUAACAAGAAAGAGCCUCAGACUAAGUCACUGAGCGAGGUGCAGAUGGUGUAAUAUGCCAUACAGAACAGCUUGGCAGACAAACACGAAAAGUUCUACGAAAGAAUCACAGUACAG